AGGCUUUAUAGUCAUAUAAUAUGACAUUAGACUGCAAUUCUAAAGGAGUAAUUUUUUACUAAAGCUUA
RNAcentral lists this transfer RNA (68 nucleotides) under Hydrotaea ignava. RNAcentral's name for it is "tRNA-Cys". RNAcentral also lists the same sequence under 1 other name. The record is from RNAcentral. Lineage: Eukaryota; Metazoa; Arthropoda; Insecta; Diptera; Muscidae.